UCCAGGGUAGCCUAGUAGACAUGGCAUCUGCCCGGUAAGCGGAAGGUUGUGGGUUCGAUUCCCGCCCCUGGAC
RNAcentral lists this transfer RNA (73 nucleotides) under Cordylochernes scorpioides. RNAcentral describes it as "tRNA-Thr". It matches the Rfam family "tRNA". From Rfam's summary of the family: Transfer RNA (tRNA) molecules are approximately 80 nucleotides in length. Lineage: Eukaryota; Metazoa; Arthropoda; Arachnida; Pseudoscorpiones; Chernetidae. The record is from RNAcentral.